GCCCGGGUGGCGGAAUGGCAGACGCGGCGGACUCAAAAUCCGCUGUCCGAGAGGGCGUGUGGGUUCGAGUCCCACCCCGGGCA
RNAcentral lists this transfer RNA (83 nucleotides) under Microthrixaceae bacterium. Its description in RNAcentral is "tRNA-Leu". It matches the Rfam family "tRNA". From Rfam's summary of the family: Transfer RNA (tRNA) molecules are approximately 80 nucleotides in length. Lineage: Bacteria; Bacillati; Actinomycetota; Acidimicrobiia; Acidimicrobiales; Microthrixaceae. RNAcentral also lists the same sequence under 1 other name. The record is from RNAcentral.